RNAcentral lists this ribosomal RNA (303 nucleotides) under Triticum aestivum (bread wheat). RNAcentral's name for it is "partial small subunit ribosomal RNA". Lineage: Eukaryota; Viridiplantae; Streptophyta; Magnoliopsida; Poales; Poaceae. The record is from RNAcentral.
AUGGAGCUUCGGCAUGUGGUGCAUACUCCGGUGGCAAAUCAAACUUCAAUAAUGGCCAAGAGUGAGAGAAUGGAAGAACAGUACAAUGAGCUAAAAAGUUUGAUCAUAGCUUCUAGGGGGUCUGUUGAAAUGGGAGGAAUUCCAGAAAAGGGGCUUCUAAAUAAAGAUCCUUCUAAGGACUUGGAAACCAUGAAUGACGAAGAACAAGCAACUUCACUUUCAUAUACUACCAAGGCAUCCGAGGCAAUGGUUGCUCCAAGGCAUCCAGAUAAGGUGAAGGCAUCCCAACUGGAAUCAAAGUAA